UACGUAGGGUGCAAGCGUUUAAUCGGAAUUACUGGGCGUAAAGCGCACGUAGGCGGGUCGUUUAAGUCGGGGGUGAAAUCCUGGAGCUCAACUCCAGAACUGCCUUCGAUACUGGCGACCUAGAGUCCGGAAGAGGUGAGUGGAACUCCUAGUGUAGAGGUGGAAUUCGUAGAUAUUAGGAAGAACACCAGUGGCGAAAGGCGGCUCACUGGUCCGGUACUGACGCUGAGGUGCGAAAGCGUGGGGAGCAAACAGG
This 256-nucleotide ribosomal RNA is filed under the name uncultured bacterium. Its description in RNAcentral is "partial 16S ribosomal RNA". It matches the Rfam family "Bacterial small subunit ribosomal RNA", at positions 524 to 776 of the family's 1533-position model. The record is from RNAcentral.